CCCUGCUUAGCUUAGAGGCCCAAAGCGCUUCCCUGUCACGGAAGAGAACGAGGGUUCAAAUCCCUCAGCAGGGGCCA
This 77-nucleotide transfer RNA is filed under the name uncultured archaeon. RNAcentral's name for it is "tRNA-Asp(gtc)". It matches the Rfam family "tRNA". From Rfam's summary of the family: Transfer RNA (tRNA) molecules are approximately 80 nucleotides in length. Their secondary structure includes four short double-helical elements and three loops (D, anti-codon, and T loops). The record is from RNAcentral.